UUGUAUUGGAAAGGGUGGUUAUGCUGAGGUUUACAAAGGGUGUUUGCCAAAUGGUCAGCUGGUAGCGAUUAAAACGCUGACACGUGGUACAAAAAACGAAACUAUAGGUGACUUCUUAUCAGAACUUGGUAUAAUGGCUCAUGUAAACCACUCCAACACUGCCAAGUUAGUUGGCUAUGGGGUGGAGGGAGUAAUGUAUCUAGUGCUUGAGUUGUCUGAAAAAGGGUGCUUAGCUUCAAUGCUUAAUGGUUCCAAGGACAAACUACCAUGGUCUAUUAGGCAGAAAAUAGCAUUAGGAACAGCUAAGGGUAUAAUGUAUCUGUUAGAACAAAGUAGAAUGUGAAUGAAAGUUUGAAAAAAAAGAAAGAAAAAAAAUGGUUUGCCAUAAACUAUUGUUACAACAGUAUCUUCAUGAAGGUUGUCAGAGAAGAAUUAUCCAUAGAGAUAUAACAGCGGCAAAUAUCUUGCUUACUGAGGACUUUGAGUCGAAGCUUUACGUGGGCUGCCACAUUGAAGGCAAGGGUCCUUAAGGAGGUUUGGAACAUAGCAGCUGUGUUUCCUGUGGAGAAGAAUUUGGCCGGUGGCGGCGGCGGCAAUGAUAAUGGUAGCAAUGGUAGCUCUAAUAGUAGCUUCAGUGGUGAAAUUGUACUAGAAGAAAAUUUCUUGGGGAUUUGUAGCAGAGAAUUGCUAGCCAGAGGAUGUGAACUUCUCAAGCGCACACGCACUGGUUUAGAUCCAAACUGCCACACAAACGAUGUGCUCCAGGCGGGGAUAAACCUUGGCAAAUAGCUGGUUCUGCAUUGCAAAUGAUGUGGGAUAUAAAAUGGUUUGAGUCCAACUGUCUAAGACGAUGGUGGCUCAUGCAUAAUUGGUGGGUCAAAUGGUCAAUCCUCAAACUUACGACAUACAAACGGAUGAUGAUGAUAACAUUGUUCUCCAUAUAGCAGCAGAAACAGCAAAAAUGAUACGUGAAAAUCUUGAUUAGCUCAUUGUAUGCUUGGGAAUCCUAAUGCUGAUGUAUUAGUCAAAAACUACUGCCAAGUUGCAGCUCUGUGCACUCAUUGUCAUUAGAUUUUGAUAAUUUAUAUCACUUGCAAAGCAUGACAGCAAGUUUUCUUUUGGAUUGAAUUUCCUUUAAUUUCUAUAUUAGUAACACUGGAGGUGAAGUAAAAAAAAGUAAUCAAUUACCAGGACAGAAGAAUUUAUCAGCCAAUUUCUCAAAGGGGGUCCUGUCGUUGUAAAUAUACCUGCAUCAUUAUCAACACAAGCAUAAGAUUGUUGUGUGUGUU
Molecule: long non-coding RNA, 1289 nt
Organism: Glycine soja
Lineage: Eukaryota; Viridiplantae; Streptophyta; Magnoliopsida; Fabales; Fabaceae
Exons: 6
Source: RefSeq, a predicted model, not a curated record